RNAcentral lists this ribosomal RNA (1150 nucleotides) under Escherichia coli. RNAcentral describes it as "partial 23S ribosomal RNA". It matches the Rfam family "Bacterial large subunit ribosomal RNA", at positions 398 to 1549 of the family's 2925-position model. The record is from RNAcentral. Lineage: Bacteria; Pseudomonadati; Pseudomonadota; Gammaproteobacteria; Enterobacterales; Enterobacteriaceae.
UGUGAGCUCGAUGAGUAGGGCGGGACACGUGGUAUCCUGUCUGAAUAUGGGGGGACCAUCCUCCAAGGCUAAAUACUCCUGACUGACCGAUAGUGAACCAGUACCGUGAGGGAAAGGCGAAAAGAACCCCGGCGAGGGGAGUGAAAAAGAACCUGAAACCGUGUACGUACAAGCAGUGGGAGCACAGAGCAAUCUGUGUGACUGCGUACCUUUUGUAUAAUGGGUCAGCGACUUAUAUUCUGUAGCAAGGUUAACCGAAUAGGGGAGCCGAAGGGAAACCGAGUCUUAACUGGGCGUUAAGUUGCAGGGUAUAGACCCGAAACCCGGUGAUCUAGCCAUGGGCAGGUUGAAGGUUGGGUAACACUAACUGGAGGACCGAACCGACUAAUGUUGAAAAAUUAGCGGAUGACUUGUGGCUGGGGGUGAAAGGCCAAUCAAACCGGGAGAUAGCUGGUUCUCCCCGAAAGCUAUUUAGGUAGCGCCUCGUGAAUUCAUCUCCGGGGGUAGAGCACUGUUUCGGCAAGGGGGUCAUCCCGACUUACCAACCCGAUGCAAACUGCGAAUACCGGAGAAUGUUAUCACGGGAGACACACGGCGGGUGCUAACGUCCGUCGUGAAGAGGGAAACAACCCAGACCGCCAGCUAAGGUCCCAAAGUCAUGGUUAAGUGGGAAACGAUGUGGGAAGGCCCAGACAGCCAGGAUGUUGGCUUAGAAGCAGCCAUCAUUUAAAGAAAGCGUAAUAGCUCACUGGUCGAGUCGGCCUGCGCGGAAGAUGUAACGGGGCUAAACCAUGCACCGAAGCUGCGGCAGCGACGCUUAUGCGUUGUUGGGUAGGGGAGCGUUCUGUAAGCCUGCGAAGGUGUGCUGUGAGGCAUGCUGGAGGUAUCAGAAGUGCGAAUGCUGACAUAAGUAACGAUAAAGCGGGUGAAAAGCCCGCUCGCCGGAAGACCAAGGGUUCCUGUCCAACGUUAAUCGGGGCAGGGUGAGUCGACCCCUAAGGCGAGGCCGAAAGGCGUAGUCGAUGGGAAACAGGUUAAUAUUCCUGUACUUGGUGUUACUGCGAAGGGGGGACGGAGAAGGCUAUGUUGGCCGGGCGACGGUUGUCCCGGUUUAAGCGUGUAGGCUGGUUUUCCAGGCAAAUCCGGAAAA